RNAcentral lists this long non-coding RNA (219 nucleotides) under Homo sapiens (human). RNAcentral's name for it is "non-protein coding lnc-BRINP3-10:1". The record is from RNAcentral. Lineage: Eukaryota; Metazoa; Chordata; Mammalia; Primates; Hominidae.
AUGUUUGAUAUAAUGGCUUGGGAUGACUAUAUUGUGGAAUGGGCUGCAAAGAUUUCAAGUAGCUUCCUCACAACGGCUAUUUUGGCCCUCAUUUCACUGGUCCUAGCAAGUGCUUUAUGUCCUGGAAACUGAAGAAGAUGAUUGUGGAGCCGGGAAAACAGCAAAAGAAGAAACAGGAGUCAAGAAAAUAUCGCCAAAGUCAAACCACUUAAAAAGGAU